UACGGAGGGUGCAAGCGUUAAUCGGAAUUACUGGGCGUAAAGGGUGCGUAGGCGGUUAAGUAAGUUAUCUGUGAAAUCCCUGGGCUCAACCUGGGUAGGAAAGAUAAUACUGUUUAACUGGAGUGUGGUAGAGGAUAGUGGAAUUUCCGGUGUAGCGGUGAAAUGCGUAGAGAUCGGAAGGAACACCAGUGGCGAAGGCGGCUAUCUGGACCAACACUGACGCUGAGGCACGAAAGCGUGGGGAGCAAACAGGAUUAGAUACCCUGGUAGUCCACGCUGUAAACGAUGUCAACUUGCUGUUGGUCACAUUAAAGUGAUUAGUAGUGUAGCAAACGCGAUAAGUUGACCGCCUGGGGAGUACGGUCGCAAGAUUA
This 374-nucleotide ribosomal RNA is filed under the name uncultured prokaryote. RNAcentral's name for it is "bacterial SSU rRNA". It matches the Rfam family "Bacterial small subunit ribosomal RNA", at positions 524 to 896 of the family's 1533-position model. The record is from RNAcentral.